UUGGUGCCACGGAUCACAUGACAGAUAAUCCUCAUACCUUUGCAAGUUUUUAAUCACAUAAAGCACAUACUCCUGAUACCAUAGCUGAUGGGUCAACAUAUACUAUUGAAGGUUAUGGGACCGGUAAGCUUACUUCUUCUAUUACCCUUCCUCUGUACUAAGUUUACCAAAUUCUUGCCUUUAACUUAAUUUCUAUGAGUAAACUUAUCAAAGACCUAUGUAAAAAUAUAAUAUUUUGUUGUAUUUCACCGUAGAAAUCAUAACCUAUUUAUACAUGAAAGACGGUAUCUAAAUAGAAAAGAAAAUCAAGCCUAUUAUUAUACAAUCCCUAAGAUUAAACAACUGACCCAUUUAUCAAUAUUUACUUUCUAUAUUAACAUAUUUACUUCCUAUAACCUAUAACACUCCCCCUCAAGUUGGAGCAUAAAUGUUAAUCAUGCCAACUUGUUACAUAUAUAAUAAACUCGAGUCCCAUUUAGAGUUUUAGUGAAGAUGUCUCCUGGUUGUUCUCCAGUUCAGAUAUGUCCUGUUGAUAUUAUUUUUUGUUGGACAUUUUCACGAACAAAAUGACAAUUAAUCUCGAUGUUCAGAUUCAGCACUAGAACGAGAGACCACAUUUUCUCAGCUCGGUAAAACGCCUUACACACAUCAUAAAUACGAGAAAUAUUCUUUUUGCUAAAAUAUAGAAAUUCCAAAUACUCCAUUAAUUCAUAUACAAAUUCAGUGAUUAACAAGUCUAAUCACCUCACUAUGAAUAGACUUUCGAAUCUGCAGAAACAAACUAGCAUCAUCCCUCAUCCAAUCUCUACGAGUUUCAUCAGUUGGAGGAUCCUUGGUAAGAUUAUCAUCCAUUUCAAUACUUCAUAAAUAAAUAUGGAUAGUCUUACUCCAAUCCAAAAAUUUAUAUCCAUUUAAUUUGUAUUCCGUGAUUUUAGUAAUCACAAGAAUCACAUUAGUUAUGGUGAUUUUAACUUCAGUCAUUAGGACAACUAACCCAAAACAAUCAAAAUAAAUAAAGGAUAAGAAAAAUAGUACUCGUAAACGGUACUCGUGAACUGUACCCGAUGAGCAGAGCUCUAAGUCUCCAAAUGUCGCAUAACGCAAAUGAACAAAGUCCAAAUGUUAUCCUUUAUGAGUAACCCAAAUGAACAGAGUUCUAAAUCUCUAAAUGUUAUCCUUUAUGGGUAAUCUAAAUGAACAAAGCCCUAAGUCUUCAAAUGUUAUCCUUUAUGGUAAUCCAAAUAAACAGAAUCCUAAGUCUCAAAAUGUUACCUUUUAUGGGUAACCCAAAUGAACAGAGCCCUAAGUCCCCAAAAAAAAUUAAAUCUCUAUGGAUGAGGCUUUGAUACCAUGUAGAAAGAUAAUAUUUUGUUGUAUUUCACCGUAGAGAUCACAACCUAUUUAUACAUGAAAGACGGUAUCUAAAUAGAAAAGAAAAUCAAGCCUAUAAUUAUACAAUCCCUAAGAUUAAGCAACUGACCCAUUUAUCAAUAUUUACUUCCUAUAACCUAUAACAACCUAAAUUGUUGUGUUUCAUUAUUCCCUGAUCACUGUCUUUUCCAAAAUCUUAUGACGAAGCAGAUUAUUGGUAAAUGAAAUGUAUCCGAUGGCUUCUACAUUUUGGAUGAGUGGGCACCUCAUUUAGUUGCCUGUUCCAGUGUUGUCUCUCGACUUGAAGCACAUUGUCGGUUGGGAGAUCAUUCAUUACCAGUUUUGAAUAAGCUAUGCCCUCAAUUUCAGGAUGUAUCUUCAGUGGAAUGUGAGUUAUGUCAUUUAGGGGCCUUGUUUUGUUGGGUCUAAGAGUGGGUUUAGAUAUUUUCUCACUUUUGUAGAUGAUUUUUCUAGAAUGAUUUGGAUUUAUUUUAUGAAGUGUGAUUUUUAGAUUUUUUCUCAUUUUUCUACUUUUUGUGAUGAAAUCAAGACUCAAUUUAAUGCUUCUGUGCCUAUUUUGUGAAGUGAC
RNAcentral lists this long non-coding RNA (1960 nucleotides) under Manihot esculenta (cassava). Its description in RNAcentral is "long non-coding RNA (MESC_LNC004630)". The record is from RNAcentral. Lineage: Eukaryota; Viridiplantae; Streptophyta; Magnoliopsida; Malpighiales; Euphorbiaceae.